UCCAUGGGGAUGCGCGAUCUCCCCACGAGGCGCCAGCUGAAAAUCGUGUUCCGAUCCUGUCGAGAUGUUUCCAAGGAGGAACGCACAUG
Molecule: non-coding RNA, 89 nt
Filed under: Roseovarius sp. 217
Lineage: Bacteria; Pseudomonadati; Pseudomonadota; Alphaproteobacteria; Rhodobacterales; Roseobacteraceae
Description: chrB RNA
Rfam family: chrB-a RNA
Source: RNAcentral